GAUUAACGCUGGCGGCGUGCCUAACACAUGCAAGUCGAACGAGGUAGCAAUACCUAGUGGCAGACGGGUGAGUAACGCGUGGUCAACCUACCGUUGAGUGGGGGAUAACUAGCCGAAAGGUUAGCUAAUACCGCAUACGUCUCCGAGGGGCAUCCCUUGGCGAUAAAAGGAGCAAUCCGCUCGAUGACGGGACCGCGUCCCAUUAGCUAGAUGGUGGGGUAACGGCCUACCAUGGCACCGANGGGGUAGCUGGUUUGAGAGAGCGACCAGCCACACUGGGACUGAGAAACGGCCCAGACUCCUACGGGAGGCAGCAGUGAGGAAUUUUCCGCAAUGGGCGCAAGCCUGACGGAGCGACGCCGCGUGUGGGAAGAAGGCC
RNAcentral lists this ribosomal RNA (379 nucleotides) under uncultured bacterium. Its description in RNAcentral is "bacterial SSU rRNA". It matches the Rfam family "Bacterial small subunit ribosomal RNA", at positions 28 to 416 of the family's 1533-position model. The record is from RNAcentral.